CGGCCGCGACCGCCCCUGGUUCACUCAGGAUCAACCACGCCAACCAUACGGGCUCCAAUCAUACCUACCUGAAAAACGCCUACAGCAAGCCAAAGCUCUGCGAGCCCGAAGAGGAACUUCUCCAGCAGUUUAAACGUGAGGAGGUGUCUCCGACGGGGAGUUUCAGUGCUCACUACCUGUCGAUGUUCCUCCUAACUGCAGCCUGCUUAUUUUUCCUAAUAUUGGGACUGACUUACCUAGGAAUGAGAGGGACAGGAGUACCCGAGGACGGAAGACUCUGCAAGUGAAAAAAAUCUUAUGAUGAGCACAUUAUACAAACUUCAUGAUCGAUUGGCUCAGAUUGCAGGAGAUCAUGAAUGUGGCCGUUCCAGCCAAAGGAUGCUUUCUGUCCAAGAAGCAGCUGCAUAUUUAAAAG
Molecule: long non-coding RNA, 415 nt
Filed under: Rattus norvegicus (Norway rat)
Lineage: Eukaryota; Metazoa; Chordata; Mammalia; Rodentia; Muridae
Description: long non-coding RNA NONRATT026784
Source: RNAcentral